This 717-nucleotide long non-coding RNA is filed under the name Cricetulus griseus (Chinese hamster). RNAcentral's name for it is "lncRNA (ENSCGRG00015040549.1)". Lineage: Eukaryota; Metazoa; Chordata; Mammalia; Rodentia; Cricetidae. The record is from RNAcentral.
CUCCCCGCGAGUCUUCCCCUGGUGAAUGCAAGCGAGCCAGCUGCUGCCUGAACUCCGGUGCGCCGGGUUUUCAGAGCUGCCACAAGCGCGAGGAGGGAGGGGGGCACACAGCAGCCACAGAGCACUGGGUUCAUAACUAGGAUUGGUCGCAAGUAGGGAGCUUUUGCCACUCCGCUGGGACCCUGGGACGCUGGCGGCAUCGUGCGCUGGGUUCUCCUAAGAGCUGCUUUGGGUGCCUCGGAUUCAUUUGGCAUUGUAGAAUUUUCUAACUGAGGAAAUUCCGCUAGAGCUCACUUGGGAAUUUCUGCAGUUUGGUGUCAGAGAAUCAAAUUCUUCAGACUGAGCUAAAGGAAACACUCCAUGUGGGUUCUGAUUGAAAACAAAGGGGAUUAUUGACACAUAGUAUCUCCACAGCAUGUGGCUCUCAGAGCUGCCCUAAAAGUAAAUUGAUUGACAGAACCUGACUAAAUCAAGAGACCAAAGAUAAACAGGAGAGGUGACAACAGAAAUUAGAUCUGCACAUUCAUUUCUUCAGAAAAGUUAGACUGAAGAAGAAAAAAAAAAAAGAUGCAAGCUGCUUCCUGCUGUGAGACAGCUUUAGUCUCCUGAAUUUUUGGUGCAGUUGUUAUAAAACAGAGGAAAAUCGAUCAUGUGUUCUUUGGAGAGAAACAACUCAAACUCAUCAUGUCCUUCAAAAGCAUCAUAAAAUUCUGUGAA